This 65-nucleotide transfer RNA is filed under the name Dipodomys ordii (Ord's kangaroo rat). It matches the Rfam family "tRNA". From Rfam's summary of the family: Transfer RNA (tRNA) molecules are approximately 80 nucleotides in length. Their secondary structure includes four short double-helical elements and three loops (D, anti-codon, and T loops). The record is from Rfam by way of RNAcentral. Lineage: Eukaryota; Metazoa; Chordata; Mammalia; Rodentia; Heteromyidae.
GGUGGCUCAAUGGUAGAGUGCUUGGCUUGCAAGCAUGAGACCCUGGGUUCCAUUCCUCAGCACCA